UACAACUCCCAUAAUUUAACAUUUGAAUGUUUUUAUAUUCAAUUGCUAGUUGAUUUUGCCAAACAAUGGAAAUAACAGUUAAAACCUUCUCAUACUAAUUACAGUCCAUUAGCACAACCUUUUAUAAUAUCACUUGCCAGAGUUAGUCUGUCCAAACUAGCCUCAUCGACAAUACCAAAUCUCAAAACAGUUUAUUCCAAACUAACAACACCGACGAGCACUGAAGAAAAGACAAAGAAUACAAUGAUUUACAGAACACAUCUUGCAUGCCAGAGAUGGAAUGUAAUGACCUAUACAUCAAAUGGCUAUUAGCGUUAGAAUUCAGAUCGACUUAAAAUCGUCGGAGCCCAUCGUAAGCCUACUAUACAUCAUAUUACACCUCAUGUAAUCUUAUACAUAAUCACACAAGUAUAUAAAAUAUUUCCAUUUCAUUAACAAAAACUUGACAUGUGCAUACAUCAUGACUAAAAAACAUAAAACUCAUGCUAGAGUCCUCAUCAAAUACUUUAGUAUGGUCAAUAUUACAUGCCUAAAGUUUGGUUCAAACAUAACUUAUAUUUUAAAAUUUUUACAUAAAAAGAUCAUAAAUAAAAGAUUAUAAAAGAAAAUUCAGGCAAAAUACAAUUCUAAUCCAUAAUAUGAAAUUACAUGUCCACAGCUAUACAAUUACAACAGAACUAUACUAAAUAACUCUGCUGACCUCCCGAGUUAACUCCGGUUUUGCAAACCUGAGAUUAGGAGAAAGGGAUAAAUUGCCAGAGCAUAGUGAGGAGAAACAUAAACAAAAGCAAUUCAAUAAAAUAUAUGAUCGUAUAGAUGCGUCACAACACAGACAAUUCACAUCAAGAUGGACUUAUCACUAGUAACCCUCUAUAAAUUCCAAUAGUUUCCGGCCCACAACAAGUAUUACUCAUGACUUCCUCUUAAAUAUAACAUAACAUAUCUAUAAUACCAGGGGCAUAAAAUUAGUCUCGACCUGAACUUCCGUAUCCAUCAUAAUAUAUCAUAACAUGCUUGAGGAUUGGUGGGUCGUCCAAUAUUCAUCCAUAAUAACAACAAAUUAUGCAAUACAUCAUAUUCGUAAAUUUUAAUACAAAACAACCUAAUCAUAUAUACAUGGAAUUCGUUAUGCAUGAACAUGCUUAAAACGUUUUAUUUUUUUAAAGUAGUAGUUCAGUUUAAUUCUACUAAUUUCUGGCUUACGUGUGCCUAACUCUAAAACAGUUAUCUCACUGCAAGUUUCUACAGUCUCCCAAGUUCGAUCCUACACAGAUGGACUUAAAUGAGGGACCAAACAUAACUUUUACAACUCCAAAAACUAUCUAAGAGGCCCCUAAAAAUAUAUAAGAAAACAUGUAAAAAAUAAGCUGAAAAAGACUAAACAGGGACUUUCGGCGGCAGGUUCAGUGGCUUAAUGUAACGACCCGGAAACCGGACCGCUACCGGCGCUAGGAUUUAGAUUGACUUAAGGUCGCCGGAAUCCGUAGCAAGCCUACUAUACAUCCUGUGUACCUGAUAAAAUCCCAUACAUGAUCAUACAUUUUCAUAAAAAUUUUAAACUUUUCAUAUACCAAGCUUGACCUGUACAUUCCUCAUGAACUGUAAACAUAAAACCCACACUAGAGCCCUCAUCAAAUGCUCUAGUAUGGUCAACAUCAUAUACAUCAAGUUUGGAUUAACAUAACUCAUCAUUUAACUUUUACAUAAUAAUCAUGUUCAAAGGGAUUUACAGAAACAUAAACUAGGGCAAAGCACAAAUCUAUCCAUUACAUAUUACAUGUCCACUACUAAUCUAUUACAUAAGCUUAUACCAACCUCUAGCCGACUUCCCGCUCUAUCUCUGAUCCUGCAAACUUGGGGUUAGGGGAAAGGGAUAAGCUACAAGAGCCUAGUGAGCAGAACCAUAAAAACAAUUUAAUAAAUAUAUGCUCUCAUGAAAUGUAUCACAACACAAACAAUACACAUCAAGGAUGGACUUGUCGCCAGUAACCCUCUACAUAUCCAAUGUGCCUGGCCCUCGACUGAGCUCCUCAGGACUUUCGCUUAAACAUAACAUAGCAUAUCCAACUGUGCCAGGGGCGUAGAAUGGGCAAGCCCUGGUCUUUUCCUUACAUCGUGUCAGGGGAGUAGAAUGGGCAAGCCCUGGACUUCCAUAUCAUGUCAUAUCAUAUCGUAUCGUAUCAUAUCGAGGGCUAGUGGGUCAUCCAAUAUCCAUCCACAACAACAGUAAAUUAUGCAAUGCAUCAUAUUCGUGAAUUCUAAUGCAACAACUAUUACAUAACAUGGUAUUCAUGAUGCAUGAACAUACUUAAAAUUUAGUUACUUAAAAACAUAGUUCAAUUCUACUCACCUCUGGCUGACGCUUGACUGACACUGAAGCAGCUGACUCACUGCUGGUCUCUUCGGUCUCUCAGGUCCGAUCCUACAUUGAUGGACUCAAGUGAGGGACCAAACAUAACUCUAGCAAGACUCUAAACAUCUCCCCAAAAACCCCCUAAAAUAUCAUAAAACAUGCAUACAAAACAAGCGAAGGAAGGCUGGGCAGGGGACUUUCGGCGGCAGGUCAGCGGCCGAAGGUCCCUACAGAUCCGAAAGUCAGGCACUUUCGGGGGCAAGGUUCGGCGGCCGAAAGUCCCUUCUAGAUCCGAAAGUCCAUGCUUUCGGGGGCAGUUUAGGCGGCCAAAGGCUGCCUCCGGUGGCAGGUUCGGCGGCCGAACCUUGCUUCGGCGGCCGAACCUUGCUUCGGCGGCCGAACCUGGGUUCUCCAGAAUGGCAGAACCCGAUAUUGCCCUAAGCAUUUCAGCCUCCAAAACUUCUCAAACUCUCACAUCUUUUCCUCAAAACAUGCAUAAGGGGUAUAAAAACUAGUCUAAACCCCAACAAACAAUUACAAAACAUAAGAGGGAGCAUACAUUCAUUAAAGACCCAACUCAAACCCUAUAGCUCUAUAUUUAACCUCAACAUGCAUCUUUUCCCUUUAAACCUUCAUAAAACUCAAUUCAAAACAGAAGAGAGGCAAGGAUCUAGGCUUACCUCUUGGAGAUCUAGGAGUGACAGCAACCCCAACGUGGAGAUGAGUCAAACGGUCUCCAAGGCUUCAAAAACUCGGGUUUAAGCUUAGAUCUUCAAAGACAAGAGAAAACUCGUAAAAACAUUGAAGGAUUUGAAAGAAAAUCAAAAAAUCAACAAAGGGAGGGCAAGAACUCACCUUUGCCCGAAAAUGGGAAGAAAAACUCUCCCGUUUUUGGACUGGGGGCCUCUUAUAGGUGGCUGGCCAGACCACCUUCGGGGGCCGAAAGAGCUUCCGCGGCAGCACCAUGUUCGGCGGCCGAACCUGGGCUUAUCCCUCAAAAACAUUUUUCUUCUUUUAAAAACUUUAAUCCAAAAACUUAGCAUUAAAACCAUAAAAAGCAUUUUGUAAAAAUAUAUUUUACCCUUCUAGAGGUCCCAGCAUUCGAGAUUCCGGAUUCCAAUAGAGAUUCCGUCGGAAGAUUGGAAUUCCGACACCAAAGUCUAGCCGAGUAUUACACUUAAAGUCCCCUUAUAGAAUCGAAGGUCAAAUUUUCGAAGGCAUGUUAGAUGGCCAAAAGGCAGCCUUCACAGAUAGACAUAACAUUUCCUGUGAAUUCGAUGAUGAUGUGGCUGACUACUUGAUAAGGGGCAUCACCAGUUAAGCCGAACCUGGAUUCUUCUGCAAUGCAAAACCCGAUUCUGCCUCAGUCCAUAGCCACCAAAACGUGAUAAAACCCACAUGCAACAGCUCAUAAACAACUAUACACAAAAGGAACACCUAAACUUCAUCAGCAUCAACAACACAAGAAGUAUUAUCCAUUAUAAGAAAACUAGAAACUUAAGCUCCAACACAUAUAAAAGAUCUUGCUUGCAUCACCAACCAUAGAAACAACUAAUGCCUCUUUUAAAAUCCCAACAACAGAAGAGAGGCAAUGAUUAAACUUAUCCCUAGGAAGAAGUACCAACACAGCAAUAAGGAGAAAUUCGGAAAGGAAGAAGAAAUGAGCUCUGAAGAUCUCAAAAGUUAAAACUUUGAAACACUGAGCUUGAUUUCUUCAAAACAAAAGGUAAAACUCAUGAGAAAACUGUGAAAAAAAAAAGAAUUUGUAAAAAAGAAGAGCAGAAGACUUACCUCUACUCGAAAUGGAGUAAAAAUUUUCUCCUUUUUGGGCAGAGCCCCUUUUAUAGGUGACUGGAAAAACCACAUUCAGCGGUCUAGCUUGAAGGUUUGGUGGCUGAAUCUUAAAAAUUUUCUAAAACUGUUUUUUUUUUUUUUAAAUACAUCAUAAAAUGCUUCAAACUCAUUUUAUAAAAAAUUCAUUUUACCCUUCUAAAGUUUUCGAUUCCAAGAUUCCAGAUUUCAAUGGAAAUUCCAUCGAGAAGUUAGAAUUCCGACAUCGGAGUUUAGCCGGGUAUUCCAUGAAACAUCCCAACAGCAAAACAACCACAAAUCAUAAACCGAACUCAAAAGUAAGGCUUAAGAAAGGAAGGAAUCAAUGACAAAUUACGAAAUAAACUCACCCUGACGUUGCUGAGCACAACCACCCGAAUGAAAAUAGAGGCAAGGAGAGAUGUCAUGGCUUUUCCGGUCUAUAUAGUCCUAGAGUAACCAUUCAGAGGGCCUCCGGUGUUGAUAAUCCAUCAAACCAAACCACCCAAACUUCAAUCGACUAAAGAAGACUGGAGAGAAAGACCGUAUCCAUGCAACCAGAGAAACUUCAUACCAGAUCCAAAAUUUUCACAUAAAAACUUAAACAACCAUAAGAUCGAAAGAAAAUUUGACCAAAACAAAACAACAUGACUUGUACAAUCCCUGCCCAUAAGGGCAAGAACCCAAAAUCAUAAACCCAAAUAAUAUCCCGUUCUGUUCUCUCUCUAGAACUCCUUUUUUCUUAUUUUAGAGUUUAGAACCAACUAACCAAAUUGUAAUCUGAUUCUAAUAUGUUAGCUUUUAUUUUUUUUUUAAAAAAGUCAUAUAAUAUCAAUUAUGACAUAAAUGUACAGUAAACAGACAUAUUGGGUACAAUGAUAACCGAAAUCGUGCCGCUGCGUCUGGUGAUUACUGCUUCCUUCGGCUAUAUCG
RNAcentral lists this long non-coding RNA (5095 nucleotides) under Manihot esculenta (cassava). RNAcentral describes it as "long non-coding RNA (MESC_LNC004955)". Lineage: Eukaryota; Viridiplantae; Streptophyta; Magnoliopsida; Malpighiales; Euphorbiaceae. The record is from RNAcentral.